GUGCUCGCUUUGGCAGCACAUUUACUAAAAUUGGAACAAGACAGAGAGGAUUAGCACGGCCCCUGCGCAAGGAUGACAUGCAAAUGUAACCCUCCUUU
RNAcentral lists this small nuclear RNA (98 nucleotides) under Mustela putorius furo (domestic ferret). Lineage: Eukaryota; Metazoa; Chordata; Mammalia; Carnivora; Mustelidae. The record is from RNAcentral.